Molecule: ribosomal RNA, 253 nt
Filed under: uncultured bacterium
Lineage: Bacteria
Description: partial 16S ribosomal RNA
Rfam family: Bacterial small subunit ribosomal RNA
Source: RNAcentral
UACGUAGGUUGCAAGCGUUGUCCGGAAUUAUUGGGCGUAAAGAGCUCGUAGGCGGUUUGUCGCGUCUGCUGUGAAAGUUCGGGGCUCAACCCCGGAACUGCAGUGGGUACGGGCAGACUAGAGUGCGGUAGAGGAGACUGGAAUUCCUGGUGUAGCGGUGGAAUGCGCAGAUAUCAGGAGGAACACAAGUGGCGAAGGCGGGUCCCUGGGCCGCAACUGACGCUGAGGAGCGAAAGCGUGGGGAGCGAACAGG